Molecule: ribosomal RNA, 2923 nt
Filed under: Escherichia coli
Lineage: Bacteria; Pseudomonadati; Pseudomonadota; Gammaproteobacteria; Enterobacterales; Enterobacteriaceae
Description: bacterial LSU rRNA
Rfam family: Bacterial large subunit ribosomal RNA
Source: RNAcentral
GGGUUGUGAGGUUAAGCGACUAAGCGUACACGGUGGAUGCCCUGGCAGUCAGAGGCGAUGAAGGACGUGCUAAUCUGCGAUAAGCGUCGGUAAGGUGAUAUGAACCGUUAUAACCGGCGAUUUCCGAAUGGGGAAACCCAGUGUGUUUCGACACACUAUCAUUAACUGAAUCCAUAGGUUAAUGAGGCGAACCGGGGGAACUGAAACAUCUAAGUACCCCGAGGAAAAGAAAUCAACCGAGAUUCCCCCAGUAGCGGCGAGCGAACGGGGAGCAGCCCAGAGCCUGAAUCAGUGUGUGUGUUAGUGGAAGCGUCUGGAAAGGCGCGCGAUACAGGGUGACAGCCCCGUACACAAAAAUGCACAUAUUGUGAGCUCGAUGAGUAGGGCGGGACACGUGGUAUCCUGUCUGAAUAUGGGGGGACCAUCCUCCAAGGCUAAAUACUCCUGACUGACCGAUAGUGAACCAGUACCGUGAGGGAAAGGCGAAAAGAACCCCGGCGAGGGAGUGAAAAGAACCUGAAACCGUGUACGUACAAGCAGUGGGAGCACGCUUAGGCGUGUGACUGCGUACCUUUGUAUAAUGGGUCAGCGACUUAUAUUCUGUAGCAAGGUUAACCGAAUAGGGGAGCCGAAGGGAAACCGAGUCUUAACUGGGCGUUAAGUUGCAGGGUAUAGACCCGAAACCCGGUGAUCUAGCCAUGGGCAGGUUGAAGGUUGGGUAACACUAACUGGAGGACCGAACCGACUAAUGUUGAAAAAUUAGCGGAUGACUUGUGGCUGGGGGUGAAAGGCCAAUCAAACCGGGAGAUAGCUGGUUCUCCCCGAAAGCUAUUUAGGUAGCGCCUCGUGAAUUCAUCUCCGGGGGUAGAGCACUGUUUCGGCAAGGGGGUCAUCCCGACUUACCAACCCGAUGCAAACUGCGAAUACCGGAGAAUGUUAUCACGGGAGACACACGGCGGGUGCUAACGUCCGUCGUGAAGAGGGAAACAACCCAGACCGCCAGCUAAGGUCCCAAAGUCAUGGUUAAGUGGGAAACGAUGUGGGAAGGCCCAGACAGCCAGGAUGUUGGCUUAGAAGCAGCCAUCAUUUAAAGAAAGCGUAAUAGCUCACUGGUCGAGUCGGCCUGCGCGGAAGAUGUAACGGGGCUAAACCAUGCACCGAAGCUGCGGCAGCGACGCUGAUGCGUUGUUGGGUAGGGGAGCGUUCUGUAAGCCUGUGAAGGUGCGCUGUGAGGCAUGCUGGAGGUAUCAGAAGUGCGAAUGCUGACAUAAGUAACGAUAAAGCGGGUGAAAAGCCCGCUCGCCGGAAGACCAAGGGUUCCUGUCCAACGUUAAUCGGGGCAGGGUGAGUCGACCCUAAGGCGAGGCCGAAAGGCGUAGUCGAUGGGAAACAGGUUAAUAUUCCUGUACUUGGUGUUACUGCGAAGGGGGGACGGAGAAGGCUAUGUUGGCCGGGCGACGGUUGUCCCGGUUUAAGCGUGUAGGCUGGUUUUCCAGGCAAAUCCGGAAAAUCAAGGCUGAGGCGUGAUGACGAGGUACUACGGUGCUGAAGCAACAAAUGCCCUGCUUCCAGGAAAAGCCUCUAAGCAUCAGGUAACAUCAAAUCGUACCCCAAACCGACACAGGUGGUCAGGUAGAGAAUACCAAGGCGCUUGAGAGAACUCGGGUGAAGGAACUAGGCAAAAUGGUGCCGUAACUUCGGGAGAAGGCACGCUGAUAUGUAGGUGAAGUCCCUCGCGGAUGGAGCUGAAAUCAGUCGAAGAUACCAGCUGGCUGCAACUGUUUAUUAAAAACACAGCACUGUGCAAACACGAAAGUGGACGUAUACGGUGUGACGCCUGCCCGGUGCCGGAAGGUUAAUUGAUGGGGUCAGCGCAAGCGAAGCUCUUGAUCGAAGCCCCGGUAAACGGCGGCCGUAACUAUAACGGUCCUAAGGUAGCGAAAUUCCUUGUCGGGUAAGUUCCGACCUGCACGAAUGGCGUAAUGAUGGCGGGCUGUCUCCACCCGAGACUCAGUGAAAUUGAACUCGCUGUGAAGAUGCAGUGUACCCGCGGCAAGACGGAAAGACCCCGUGAACCUUUACUAUAGCUUGACACUGAACAUUGAGCCUUGAUGUGUAGGAUAGGUGGGAGGCUUUGAAGUGUGGACGCCAGUCUGCAUGGAGCCGACCUUGAAAUACCACCCUUUAAUGUUUGAUGUUCUAACGUUGACCCGUAAUCCGGGUUGCGGACAGUGUCUGGUGGGUAGUUUGACUGGGGCGGUCUCCUCCUAAAGAGUAACGGAGGAGCACGAAGGUUGGCUAAUCUGGUCGGACAUCAGGAGGUUAGUGCAAUGGCAUAAGCCAGCUUGACUGCGAGCGUGACGGCGCGAGCAGGUGCGAAAGCAGGUCAUAGUGAUCCGGUGGUUCUGAAUGGAAGGGCCAUCGCUCAACGGAUAAAAGGUACUCCGGGGAUAACAGGCUGAUACCGCCCAAGAGUUCAUAUCGACGGCGGUGUUUGGCACCUCGAUGUCGGCUCAUCACAUCCGGGCUGAAGUAGGUCCCAAGGGUAUGGCUGUUCGCCAUUUAAAGUGGUACGCGAGCUGGGUUUAGAACGUCGUGAGACAGUUCGGUCCCUAUCUGCCGUGGGCGCUGGAGAACUGAGGGGGGCUGCUCCUAGUACGAGAGGACCGGAGUGGACGCAUCACUGGUGUUCGGGUUGUCAUGCCAAUGGCACUGCCCGGUAGCUAAAUGCGGAAGAGAUAAGUGCUGAAAGCAUCUAAGCACGAAACUUGCCCCGAGAUGAGUUCUCCCUGACUCCUUGAGAGUCCUGAAGGAACGUUGAAGACGACGACGUUGAUAGGCCGGGUGUGUAAGCGCAGCGAUGCGUUGAGCUAACCGGUACUAAUGAACCGUGAGGCUUAACCUUACAACGCCGAAGGUGUUU